This 1319-nucleotide long non-coding RNA is filed under the name Homo sapiens (human). Its description in RNAcentral is "HSALNT0264417". The record is from RNAcentral. Lineage: Eukaryota; Metazoa; Chordata; Mammalia; Primates; Hominidae.
AGGCACGGUGGCAGCCCUUGGCUGAGAAUAAGAGAAUCUUUACCUCCGUCAUCACACCCAGAAAGACUUGGACUUACUGAAGCCAAGAGAGGCAAGUUAACAAUGUUAGACCAAAGAGGCCGGGAACAUGGGGUCUGAAACAUCAUGAGCUACACGGGACACAUUUUAUCAGGUAAUCACAUGUAAGUAUCAUGCACAAUAUGACCAUUUCAUUCUGUAACGUCAAUUCCAAUUCAUAGCAUGGGUAUGCCUUGCUAUUUUUCAGUGGUAUUCCAAAUAUGCUCAAGAAUAGCCGACUUUAAAAAAAUAUGAAUAGAGGACCAAAAAUACAAAGACAAAAAAACCAGUGUGUGAGUAUCUGCAGGGAUUUUACUUCAUGGUGUUAAUGAUGUGAGAUGAACUAUUGGAUGACUCAGUCAAGCUUGUCAGCCUAACUGCCAUUCCUACAGGUUCUAUUAUUGUGUUCUCAAAUCUCAACAAGCCUAGUAGAAAAGAAAAGACUCUAGGAAUCAGGUUACAUAAAGGGAAAAAAAAAACAGUGUGCUCUCUGGGAGCUGCAACCUAGUUAAUGUAUAAAUAAUGGCAAAUUUAUAUUAUAAAAUAUGUAUUAAACAUAGAGGAUGACUGUCAGGUAAGGCUGUGGCCCUAGUAGAUGAAUCUCUUUCUCAUACUCAUGAAACCCUUCAAAACAAUUGAUGGAUAUGGGAUCUGCUGAAAAUCCUUCCACUUUUUGGACUAAGAAUAUCAGACUCAAAUACUCAAAUAUUUUCCCGCAUGAGAGAAAUACUUCUCUAAGCUGUAACACGACAGCCCCUUCUAAACCUAGAAAGCUGAUUACUAAGCUAUCUGUGUUUGAACCAGCUCCCACAAAUGUUGCUUAUGAAAUAACUUUAUCUAGUUGAACUGAUAACAAUAGCUUUUGAAAUUAUAAUAUAACAAUAAGAAAAACAAAUCAAAAGUAAUUCAUUAGUCCCUAAAAAGGGCAUUUCCUUGUAAUGGUAGUAUGUCAUUUGGUUCUAGAUUGCAAUGGUAACAUUCCCUUGAGGUAGAAGAGCUUUUAUCUAAUAAUCUACAAUUUCUAUAUGAGUCUUUUUUAUCUGGAGCAGUAGUGAAUGGUCUUAAAGGAGCCCAGACUUUAUUUUGUGUAUAUCUUCUGGCACAUAUCACAGUUAAUGGAGCUCUUUAAGAUUUUCUCUAAUGAUGUUAAUCAACACAUUUUAUAGUCCUAAUCUGUAAUUUAAAUGGGAAUCUAAGAAUAAGAUAGCAUUUGGCUCAGAAGUAAAAUGUGGGAACACCCUGGGCACACUGAUUUAUUUUGG